Molecule: ribosomal RNA, 568 nt
Filed under: uncultured bacterium
Lineage: Bacteria
Description: bacterial SSU rRNA
Rfam family: Bacterial small subunit ribosomal RNA
Source: RNAcentral
CCUACGGGAGGCAGCAGCAGGGAAUUUUCGUCAAUGGGCGCAAGCCUGAACGAGCAACGCCGCGUGGAGGAUGACGGCCUUCGGGUUGUAAACUCCUUUUUCGGGGGACGAUGAUGACGGUACCCCGGGAAUAAGGCUCGGCUAACUCUGUGCCAGCAGCCGCGGUAAUACAGAGGAGCCAAGCGUUGUCCGGAUUGACUGGGCGUAAAGCGCACGCAGGCGGUCUGGCGCGUGGGGUGUGAAAUCUGGCCGCUUAACGGCCAGGCGCCAUCCCAUACGGCCGGACUGGAGUGAUGCAGAGGUCGGUGGAAUUGCCGGUGUAGUGGUGAAAUGCGUAGAGAUCGGCAGGAACACCCAGGGGGAAACCAGCCGACUGGGCGUCUACUGACGCUGAGGUGCGAGAGCGUGGGGAGCGAACCGGAUUAGAUACCCGGGUAGUCCACGCCGUAAACGAUGGCCACUCGGCCUUUGGGGGCGGAAUCUCCGUUUCUGGGGGCCUUAGCUAACGCGGGAAGUGGCCCGCCUGGGAACUACGAACGCAAGCUUAAAACUCAAAGGAAUUGACGGA